Molecule: long non-coding RNA, 450 nt
Organism: Trachymyrmex cornetzi
Lineage: Eukaryota; Metazoa; Arthropoda; Insecta; Hymenoptera; Formicidae
Exons: 3
Source: RefSeq, a predicted model, not a curated record
AAAACGAAUUUCACGGUUAACAUGCUGAAACACGUAUUUACAUCAUGCAAAUAUAGAGAUGUAGAGUCGUAAUGAUUUCGUCCAUAUUUAAUAUUUCACGAUCGUUAAGGAUGGUCAAGGAAGCUGGGGAAAAAUCGAUGUACGCUACCCCUUCGCGUGGCGUGCACGCCAGCUACCACAUACACAUAUAUUAUACACGCGAGGAAUUAGAGCCGGGCACUGAAAUUAUCCCUGUCGCCUGUCGUCCGCGAUAUCCUCGCUACGACCGGGUCGCUCCCACGACUGGGAAAGACACGAUGCGAAGCGCGAGAAACUUCGCGAGAAAUAAAAGCCAUCGUCGAAAAAAGGGAAAAAAACAAAACCAUACGUGAUUGUCCCAGACGAAUGUGAUCUCGUCGCUCUUGUUGUAUUGGGGCAUCGUGUCGAGCAUCUUUUGCUGAGCGAUCGACG